RNAcentral lists this unclassified non-coding RNA (320 nucleotides) under plant metagenome. RNAcentral describes it as "partial contains 5.8S ribosomal RNA, internal transcribed spacer 2, and large subunit ribosomal RNA". The stretch from base 1 to 105 matches the Rfam family "5.8S ribosomal RNA", at positions 50 to 154 of the family's 154-position model. The record is from RNAcentral.
GAAAUGCGAUAAGUAAUGUGAAUUGCAGAAUUCAGUGAAUCAUCGAAUCUUUGAACGCACAUUGCGCCCGCCAGUAUUCUGGCGGGCAUGCCUGUUCGAGCGUCAUUACAACCCUCAGGCCCCCGGGCCUAGCGUUGGGGAUCGGCGGAAGCCCCCUGCGGGCACAACGCCGUCCCCCAAAUACAGUGGCGGUCCCGCCGCAGCUUCCAUUGCGUAGUAGCUAACACCUCGCAACUGGAGAGCGGCGCGGCCACGCCGUAAAACACCCAACUUCUGAAUGUUGACCUCGAAUCAGGUAGGAAUACCCGCUGAACUUAAGC